GACGAACGCUGGCGGCGUGCUUAACACAUGCAAGUCGAACGGAAAGGCCCUGCUUUUGUGGGGUGCUCGAGUGGCGAACGGGUGAGUAACACGUGAGUAACCUGCCCUUGACUUUGGGAUAACUUCAGGAAACUGGGGCUAAUACCGGAUAGGAGCUCCUGCUGCAUGGUGGGGGUUGGAAAGUUUCGGCGGUUGGGGAUGGACUCGCGGCUUAUCAGCUUGUUGGUGGGGGAGUGGCUUACCAAGGCUUUGACGGGUAGCCGGCCUGAGAGGGUGACCGGCCACAUUGGGACUGAGAUACGGACCAGACUCCUACGGGAGGCAGCAGUGGGGAAUAUUGUACAAUGGGCGGAAGCCUGAUGCAGCAACGCCGCGUGCGGGAUGACGGCCUUCGGGUUGUAAACCGCUUUCGCCUGUGACGAAGCGUGAGUGACGGUAAUGGGUAAAGAAGCACCGGCUAACUACGUG
Molecule: ribosomal RNA, 468 nt
Filed under: uncultured bacterium
Lineage: Bacteria
Description: partial 16S ribosomal RNA
Rfam family: Bacterial small subunit ribosomal RNA
Source: RNAcentral